AGGCAACGCUAGCAGGCCAGGUUGGGGUCAGGAGCCUGCUCCAGACCGAGACAGCCUGGGAGACUCAUCCGGUCGACCACCGAAAACCUCAGUGGUGCGGUUCUCCUGUCCUCGCCCUAGGUAUCAAAAGAAGAUUUAAAAAUGGGCCUGAAUGUGCUGUGAACUGAAUGAGAGCAGCCCCAGGCUCCCAUGUCUGAAUGCCUAGUUCCCAGUCAGUGGAGCUGUCUGGGAAGGACUGGAAGGUGGAGCCUUGUGAGAGGACAUGUGCCUCAUGGUUAUGGAGCAAGAUAGCCAGGAAUUUUUGGUACCACUUCUCAUGUUGCUGCACUUCAUCCGGUGUUCUCCCGGGAAGGUGUUCC
This is a long non-coding RNA of Apodemus sylvaticus (European woodmouse), 359 nucleotides long. RefSeq lists it as uncharacterized. The record is from RefSeq and is a predicted model, not a curated record. The transcript is spliced from 3 exons. Lineage: Eukaryota; Metazoa; Chordata; Mammalia; Rodentia; Muridae.